GAUGAACGCUGGCGGCGUGCCUAAUACAUGCAAGUCGAGCGAACGGACGAGAAGCUUGCUUCUCUGAUGUUAGCGGCGGACGGGUGAGUAACACGUGGAUAACCUACCUAUAAGACUGGGAUAACUUCGGGAAACCGGAGCUAAACCGGAAAAAUUUUUGAAACCGCAUGGUCAAAAAGUAAAGGACGUUCUGGCUUUAACUUAUGGAGGUAUCGGCGCUGCAUUAGCUAGUUGGUAAGGUAACGGCUUACCAAGGCAACGAUGCAUAGCCGACCUGAGAGGGUGAUCGGCCACACUGGAACUGAGACACGGUCCAGACUCCUACGGGAGGCAGCAGUAGGGAAUCUUCCGCAAUGGGCGAAAGCCUGACGGAGCAACGCCGCGUGAGUGAUGAAGGUCUUCGGAUCGUAAAACUCUGUUAUUAGGGAAGAACAUAUGUGUAAGUAACUGUGCACAUCUUGACGGUACCUAAUCAGAAAGCCACGGCUAACUACGUG
Molecule: ribosomal RNA, 497 nt
Filed under: uncultured bacterium
Lineage: Bacteria
Description: partial 16S ribosomal RNA
Rfam family: Bacterial small subunit ribosomal RNA
Source: RNAcentral